This is a long non-coding RNA of Medicago truncatula (barrel medic), 572 nucleotides long. RefSeq lists it as uncharacterized. Lineage: Eukaryota; Viridiplantae; Streptophyta; Magnoliopsida; Fabales; Fabaceae. The record is from RefSeq and is a predicted model, not a curated record. The transcript has 3 exons.
AACUUAACACAAAAUUUUCUAUAUUCUAAAGUGAUCAAAUAAUUUUCUAUCUGUUACAUUGGAAGGAGGAGAAUCAUGACCAAAACUAUCAUGUUUGUUUAUAUAAUGAUCCUAUUUAUUUUCACAUUUCAUGUUGUAUCAGAAUUUGUUUCUUUUCAUAUUUGUAAAUUUGACAUAAACUGUCCAUGGCAAAGUUGUUCUCCAGGAAAUAUUCCGGCAUGUAUUUUUGGAGUGUGCUACUGCGUUCAGAGUUAUUUUCCUCAUGUUCAUUAAAAUUAAUUGAUGGUGCUUCGCAUUUGAGAUCAAAGUAUUGGCUUAUACACAACUUUAUUUUUCAUUUUUUUAGUAUCUUUUGUUUAAUUCUAUUGUUUAUUGGGAUAUUUGUACAACAGUAAUAGAGUGAUAUUGGAGUGGUCGAGAUCUUUUUAUUCUUAUUUGUUUAAUUCUUAAGUUUGCAAACUUCUGAGCUAAGGCAUUAUGUUUUAGAAAUGUGAAAAGACAAUGUGUAUCAAAUUUUGAGUUGUGACAUCAUGUUUUGGAAAUGUGAAAAGUUAAUGUGUAUCAAAUUUUAA